Molecule: ribosomal RNA, 253 nt
Filed under: uncultured bacterium
Lineage: Bacteria
Description: partial 16S ribosomal RNA
Rfam family: Bacterial small subunit ribosomal RNA
Source: RNAcentral
UACGGAGGUGGCAAGCGUUGCUCGGAAUCACUGGGCGUAAAGGGCGCGUAGGCGGGGAGGUAAGUCGGGUGUGAAAUCCCUCGGCCCAACUGAGGAACUGCGCCCGAGACUGCUUCUCUUGAGUCCCGGAGAGGGAGAUGGAAUUCCCGGUGUAGCGGUGAAAUGUGUAGAGAUCGGGAGGAACACCGGUGGCGAAGGCGGUCUUCUGGACGGUGACUGACGCUGAGGCGCGAAAGCGUGGGGAGCAAACGGG